This 775-nucleotide ribosomal RNA is filed under the name uncultured Neocallimastigales. RNAcentral's name for it is "partial large subunit ribosomal RNA". It matches the Rfam family "Eukaryotic large subunit ribosomal RNA", at positions 24 to 649 of the family's 3401-position model. The record is from RNAcentral. Lineage: Eukaryota; Fungi; Neocallimastigomycota; Neocallimastigomycetes; Neocallimastigales.
UAUGUGAUCGUCUCUCGCAUAUCAAUAAGCGGAGGAAAAGAAACUAACAAGGAUUCCCCUAGUAACGGCGAGUGAAGCGGGAAGAGCUCAAAUUUGAAAUCUUAAAGGGUUUCCCUUUACGAAUUGUAGUUUAAAGAAGUGUUUUCUGUUGAGGUUUUGGUAAAAGUUCUUUGGAAUAGGACAUCAUAGAGGGUGAGAAUCCCGUAUUUGACCUUUACUUUCAACUUUGUGAUACACUUUCAAAGAGUCGGAUUGUUUGGGAAUGCAGUCCAAAAUGGGUGGUAAAUUUCAUCUAAAGCUAAAUAUUGGCGAGAGACCGAUAGCGAACAAGUACCGUGAGAGAAAGAUGAAAAGAACUUUGAAAAGAGAGUUAAACAGUACGUGAAAUUGUCAAGAGGGAAGCGUUUGACACCAGUGUUGUUUUUCUGAAAAUCAAUUAAAGAACUGUUUAUGCUAAGCUGUUUAGACUUUAUCAGCUAUCUGUUUAGUUUUGAGCUUUUCUUUAAUGCACUUUUCAGUUAACAAGUCAACAUCAAUUUCUUUUGCUGUAAAAAAGCUUGAGGAAGGUGGCUUGAGAUUCGUCUUAAGUGUUUAUAGCCUCUUGCCUAUGCAGUCGGAGAGAUUGAGGUCUGCAGCGUAGAUCCUUCGGGGCUAAAUGCAUUUGUGCUAAGUUAUAGCAUUUUAUAGACAACUUGUUGACUAUGAUUUGUCUUGUAGCUUACUCGCUUAUGUUACUUUUACCUACGCUUAGGAUGUUGAGUAGCGACAUACGCAC